Molecule: ribosomal RNA, 460 nt
Filed under: uncultured bacterium
Lineage: Bacteria
Description: partial 16S ribosomal RNA
Rfam family: Bacterial small subunit ribosomal RNA
Source: RNAcentral
CCUACGGGAGGCAGCAGUGAGGAAUAUUGGUCAAUGGGCGCUAGCCUGAACCAGCCAAGUAGCGUGAAGGAUGACUGCCCUAUGGGUUGUAAACUUCUUUUAUAUGGGAAUAAAGUGCAGUAUGUAUACUGCUUUGCAUGUACCUUAUGAAUAAGGAUCGGCUAACUCCGUGCCAGCAGCCGCGGUAAUACGGAGGAUCCGAGCGUUAUCCGGAUUUAUUGGGUUUAAAGGGAGCGUAGGCGGGUUGUUAAGUCAGUUGUGAAAGUUUGCGGCUCAACCGUAAAAUUGCAGUUGAUACUGGCAGCCUUGAGUACAGUAGAGGUAGGCGGAAGUCGUGGUGUAGCGGUGAAAUGCUUAGAGAUCACGAAGAACUCCGAUUGCGAAGGCAGCCUGCUGGACUGUAACUGACGCUGAUGCUCGAAAGUGUGGGUAUCAAACAGGAUUAGAUACCCCUGUAGUC